This 450-nucleotide ribosomal RNA is filed under the name uncultured bacterium. Its description in RNAcentral is "bacterial SSU rRNA". It matches the Rfam family "Bacterial small subunit ribosomal RNA", at positions 96 to 524 of the family's 1533-position model. The record is from RNAcentral.
UGGCGGACGGGUGAGUAACGCGUAGGCAAUCUGCCUUCUAGAUGGGGACAACAUCCCGAAAGGGGUGCUAAUACCGAAUGUUGUAUGAUCUUCGCAUGGAGAUGAUACUAAAGGUGGCCUCUGAAUAUGCUACCGCUAGAAGAUGAGCCUGCGUCUGAUUAGCUAGUUGGAGGGGUAACGGCCCACCAAGGCAACGAUCAGUAGCCGGUCUGAGAGGAUGAACGGCCACACUGGGACUGAGACACGGCCCAGACUCCUACGGGAGGCAGCAGUGGGGAAUCUUCCGCAAUGGACGAAAGUCUGACGGAGCAACGCCGCGUGAGUGAAGAAGGUUUUCGGAUCGUAAAGCUCUUUCGUUAGGGACGAACGUGCUCUUUGUGAAUAAUGAGGAGUAAUGACGGUACCUAAAUAAGAAGCCACGGCUAACUACGUGCCAGCAGCCGCGGUAAU